RNAcentral lists this ribosomal RNA (1276 nucleotides) under metagenome. RNAcentral's name for it is "bacterial LSU rRNA". It matches the Rfam family "Bacterial large subunit ribosomal RNA", at positions 1659 to 2925 of the family's 2925-position model. The record is from RNAcentral.
ACUGGUGCGCGAGAUGAGUAUUCUAAGGCGCUUGAGAGAACUCAGGAGAAGGAACUCGGCAAAUUGAUACCGUAACUUCGGGAGAAGGUAUGCCCCAAUUAGGUGAACUUGAACAAAGGGAGCCGAACGGGGUUGCAAAAAAUCGGUGGCUGCGACUGUUUAAUAAAAACACAGCACUCUGCAAACACGAAAGUGGACGUAUAGGGUGUGACGCCUGCCCGGUGCUGGAAGAUUAAAUGAUGGGGUGCAAGCUCUUGAUUGAAGUCCCAGUAAACGGCGGCCGUAACUAUAACGGUCCUAAGGUAGCGAAAUUCCUUGUCGGGUAAGUUCCGACCUGCACGAAUGGCGUAACGAUGGCCACACUGUCUCCUCCCGAGACUCAGCGAAGUUGAAAUGUUUGUGAUGAUGCAAUCUCCCCGCGGAAAGACGGAAAGACCCCAUGAACCUUUACUGUAGCUUUGUAUUGGACUUUGAACAGAUCUGUGUAGGAUAGGUGGGAGGCUUUGAAGCUGGAACGCUAGUUUCAGUGGAGCCGACGUUGAAAUACCACCCUGGUGUGUUUGAGGUUCUAACCUAGGUCCAUUAUCUGGAUCGGGGACAGUGCAUGGUAGGCAGCUUGACUGGGGCGGUCUCCUCCCAAAGCGUAACGGAGGAGUUCGAAGGUACGCUAGUUACGGUCGGACAUCGUGAUAAUAGUGCAAUGGCAUAAGCGUGCUUAACUGCGAGACUGACAAGUCGAGCAGAUACGAAAGUAGGACAUAGUGAUCCGGUGGUUCUGUAUGGAAGGGCCAUCGCUCAACGGAUAAAAGGUACUCUGGGGAUAACAGGCUGAUACCGCCCAAGAGUUCAUAUCGACGGCGGUGUUUGGCACCUCGAUGUCGGCUCAUCUCAUCCUGGGGCUGUAGCCGGUCCCAAGGGUAUGGCUGUUCGCCAUUUAAAGAGGUACGUGAGCUGGGUUUAAAACGUCGUGAGACAGUUUGGUCCCUAUCUUCCGUGGGCGCUGCAGAUUUGAGGAAGCCUGCUCCUAGUACGAGAGGACCGGAGUGGACACACCUCUGGUGUAUCGGUUGUCACGCCAGUGGCAUUGCCGAGUAGCUAAGUGUGGAAGAGAUAACCGCUGAAAGCAUCUAAGCGGGAAACUCGUUUCAAGAUGAGAUCUGCCGGGGCCUUGAGCCCCCUAAAGAGUCGUUCAAGACCAGGACGUUGAUAGGUCAGGUGUGGAAGCGCAGUAAUGCGUUAUGCUAACUGAUACUAAUUGCUCGUGCGGCUUGACCCU